This 178-nucleotide ribosomal RNA is filed under the name uncultured Actinomycetales bacterium. Its description in RNAcentral is "partial 16S ribosomal RNA". It matches the Rfam family "Bacterial small subunit ribosomal RNA", at positions 152 to 334 of the family's 1533-position model. The record is from RNAcentral. Lineage: Bacteria; Bacillati; Actinomycetota; Actinomycetes; Actinomycetales.
GGGAACUGGGUCUAAUACCGGAUAGGAGCCAUCUUUAGUGUGGUGGUUGGAAAGUUUUUCGGUGUAGGAUGAGCUCGCGGCCUAUCAGCUUGUUGGUGGGGUAAUGGCCUACCAAGGCGGCGACGGGUAGCCGGCCUGAGAGGGUGUACGGCCACAUUGGGACUGAGAUACGGCCCAA